UCUCUCUAAUUCUCUCAAUCUCUCUAAAUCAAGAAUUCUAAAAGGACACUAAGUGUUCCAACUAUUAUUCUCUCAAGCUCUCUACUUCUCUCAAAAAUUCCAAGCAAGGAAGAGAACUCUAAGAGUUCUAAAAGAAAACACUAAGUGUUUUAAAGGAAGUUUUGAAGCUCCAACCUCCAACUCUUCAUAGAAUCACCAAAGGAAACUUUGCAAAACUGUUUAAUGAUGAUGUUGAUGAUGUUGAUGAUGCUUGGAACAUAGUAGGAUGCCUAGAUACUCAUUUUGAAUUUUGUAUACCUAUUAUAAUGUAAUCCUUUUAUUUCAAGUUGUUGUAAUUGUAUUUCCUUUCCAUGUUGUAUUUGAAUUCUUAUAGUAAUAAAAUGAAAUUCAUUAUUUAAA
Long non-coding RNA from Helianthus annuus (common sunflower), 399 nucleotides. RefSeq lists it as uncharacterized. The transcript has 2 exons. The record is from RefSeq and is a predicted model, not a curated record. Lineage: Eukaryota; Viridiplantae; Streptophyta; Magnoliopsida; Asterales; Asteraceae.